Molecule: ribosomal RNA, 117 nt
Filed under: Caerostris darwini
Lineage: Eukaryota; Metazoa; Arthropoda; Arachnida; Araneae; Araneidae
Source: RNAcentral
AACGGUCGUACCAUGCUGAAUAUACCGGUUCUCGUUAGAUCACCGAACCGAAGUUAAGCAUCAUUGGGCGCGGUCAGUACUUGGGUGGGUGACCACCUGGGAACACUGCGUGCCGUU